CGGGCGGGUGCCGGGGGCGGAAGCGCGGCCACAAGAGGGGGCGAUUCACCGCCGCCCCCCGUGGGACCUGGGUCCUCUACGCGGGACCGCAGGGGCCCCGAGUCGCGGGUUGGGCAAGGUCGCCCGCUCCGGGUCGCUCGGAAGGGUCAUUUCACGGACCGGUCGUCUGGGGCCAGUGCGUCUUGCCCCGCACGGAAGACCCCUCGCUUCGAGGACAGGAAAGCUUUUAAAGUGAGGAUUGGCUCGCCGCGCCUCCCGCAGAGGGGAACGCCGCCCGGACCCGCGCUCCUGGGGCGGGGGCCUCGUAUGCUGGCGUUGCCGGAGCGUCUGCGGCGCUGAAGGCUGCCGAGACCCAGCCACAUCCCCCACAAGCCAGCAGCCCGGCAGAAAAUUACAUAAAAUGCAGCGCUUCGCCGAGGGGGUGCGAGUCGGGGGAGCAGCGCGCAGCUGCGGCUGACGGCUCGGCUGGAUCCAUCCAAGCAUGGACAGGAAAACGGGACUGUGGGGAGAGGGUGGUGCAGACGGGCCGCAGACCCUCCUUAGGAAGAGAAGCCGGAAACUAGGGAGUCAUGUGCAGUUAGAAUCCUCUUGGAAGACUAGUAGGAUGUGAGGUUGGAGAGGUGGACGACGACCAGAAAAUUCCCUUGUCUUGCCAGGCUUCUGACCUAACUAUGAGUUUCCUCCGCGCAUCCAGCCUGCCCUGCUCUGGCCCCUAAAGUACAGCAGUAACACUCAGUGGUGUCCCUGCCUUCCUGGAAUGCGCGUUAACAAUUCUGAUUCUUACUCAUGGCAAUAACCUACACACCACAUAGACGUUAAAUGUGGUUCGGGUCAGACUCUAGGGCAGGACUCACUGCCUGCACCUUGUCUUGGCUCCACCAGCUUGACCUUGAGCAAGUCACAACCUGUGGGUCUCAGUGUUCCUUACUAGUAAACCGUAGGUAAUUCCUCACUAGUAAACAGAUAAUAUUUGUGCCUGUCUCAAAGUUGUGAGGAUUUAAUGAAUUUGUGUUCCUGGUAUACAGUAA
Molecule: long non-coding RNA, 1028 nt
Filed under: Homo sapiens (human)
Lineage: Eukaryota; Metazoa; Chordata; Mammalia; Primates; Hominidae
Description: non-protein coding lnc-WRB-2:6
Source: RNAcentral